RNAcentral lists this ribosomal RNA (412 nucleotides) under Salmonella enterica. RNAcentral describes it as "partial 16S ribosomal RNA". It matches the Rfam family "Bacterial small subunit ribosomal RNA", at positions 1 to 409 of the family's 1533-position model. RNAcentral also lists the same sequence under 1 other name. The record is from RNAcentral. Lineage: Bacteria; Pseudomonadati; Pseudomonadota; Gammaproteobacteria; Enterobacterales; Enterobacteriaceae.
AAAUUGAAGAGUUUGAUCAUGGCUCAGAUUGAACGCUGGCGGCAGGCCUAACACAUGCAAGUCGAACGGUAACAGGAAGCAGCUUGCUGCUUCGCUGACGAGUGGCGGACGGGUGAGUAAUGUCUGGGAAACUGCCUGAUGGAGGGGGAUAACUACUGGAAACGGUGGCUAAUACCGCAUAACGUCGCAAGACCAAAGAGGGGGACCUUCGGGCCUCUUGCCAUCAGAUGUGCCCAGAUGGGAUUAGCUAGUUGGUGAGGUAACGGCUCACCAAGGCGACGAUCCCUAGCUGGUCUGAGAGGAUGACCAGCCACACUGGAACUGAGACACGGUCCAGACUCCUACGGGAGGCAGCAGUGGGGAAUAUUGCACAAUGGGCGCAAGCCUGAUGCAGCCAUGCCGCGUGUAUGAA